Molecule: ribosomal RNA, 469 nt
Filed under: uncultured bacterium
Lineage: Bacteria
Description: partial 16S ribosomal RNA
Rfam family: Bacterial small subunit ribosomal RNA
Source: RNAcentral
GACGAACGCUGGCGGCGUGCUUAACACAUGCAAGUCGAACGGAAAGGCCCUGCUUGCAGGGUGUUCGAGUGGCGAACGGGUGAGUAACACGUGGGUGAUCUGCCCCUUACUCUGGGAUAAGCCUGGGAAACUGGGUCUAAUACUGGAUAGGACCGUGCUGUAGGUGUUGUGGUGGAAAGAUUAGUUUCGGUAAGGGAUGAGCUCGCGGCCUAUCAGCUUGUUGGUGGGGUAAUGGCCUACCAAGGCGUCGACGGGUAGCCGGCCUGAGAGGGGGGACGGCCACAUUGGGACUGAGAGACGGCCCAGAAUCCUACGGGAGGCAGCAGUGGGGAAUAUUGCACAAUGGGCGCAAGCCUGAUGCAGCGACGCCGCGGGGGGGAUGACGGCCUUCGGGUUGUAAACUCCUUUCAGCCAUGACGAAGCCCUUGUGGUGACGGUAGUGGUAGAAGAAGCACCGGCUAACUACGUG